Molecule: transfer RNA, 71 nt
Filed under: Camelus bactrianus (Bactrian camel)
Lineage: Eukaryota; Metazoa; Chordata; Mammalia; Artiodactyla; Camelidae
Also listed under: 1 other name
Rfam family: tRNA
About the family: Transfer RNA (tRNA) molecules are approximately 80 nucleotides in length. Their secondary structure includes four short double-helical elements and three loops (D, anti-codon, and T loops). Further hydrogen bonds mediate the characteristic L-shaped molecular structure. tRNAs have two regions of fundamental functional importance: the anti-codon, which is responsible for specific mRNA codon recognition, and the 3' end, to which the tRNAs corresponding amino acid is attached (by aminoacyl-tRNA synthetases). tRNAs cope with the degeneracy of the genetic code in two manners: having more than one tRNA (with a specific anti-codon) for a particular amino acid; and 'wobble' base-pairing, i.e. permitting non-standard base-pairing at the 3rd anti-codon position.
Source: Rfam by way of RNAcentral
GAGGGCACAGCUCAGUGGUAGAGCACGUGUUUCACAUGCACAAGGUCCUGGGUUCAAUCCCAGUACUUCCA